This 464-nucleotide ribosomal RNA is filed under the name uncultured bacterium. Its description in RNAcentral is "partial 16S ribosomal RNA". It matches the Rfam family "Bacterial small subunit ribosomal RNA", at positions 339 to 795 of the family's 1533-position model. The record is from RNAcentral.
CUACGGGCGGCACCAGUGGGGAAUAUUGCACAAUGGGCGCAAGCCUGAUGCAGCCAUGCAGCGUGUAUGAAGAAGGCCUUCGGGUUGUAAAGUACUCUCAGCGGGGAGGAAGGGAGUAAAGUUAAUACCUUUGCUCAUUGACGUUACCCGCAGAAGAAGCACCGGCUAACUCCGUGCCAGCAGCCGCGGUAAUACGGAGGGUGCAAGCGUUAAUCGGAAUUACUGGGCGUAAAGCGCACGCAGGCGGUUUGUUAAGUCAGAUGUGAAAUCCCCGGGCUCAACCUGGGAACUGCAUCUGAUACUGGCAAGCUUGAGUCUCGUAGAGGGGGGUAGAAUUCCAGGUGUAGCGGUGAAAUGCGUAGAGAUCUGGAGGAAUACCGGUGGCGAAGGCGGCCCCCUGGACGAAGACUGACGCUCAGGUGCGAAAGCGUGGGGAGCAAACAGGAUUAGAUACCCUUGUAGUC